UACGGAGGAUCCGAGCGUUAUCCGGAUUUAUUGGGUUUAAAGGGAGCGUAGGCGGACGCUUAAGUCAGUUGUGAAAGUUUGCGGCUCAACCGUAAAAUUGCAGUUGAUACUGGGUGUCUUGAGUACAGUAGAGGCAGGCGGAAUUCGUGGUGUAGCGGUGAAAUGCAUAGAUAUAACUUAGAACUCCGAUAGCGAAGGCAGCUUACCAGACUGCAACUGACAUUGAGGCUCGAAAGUGUGGGUAUCAAACAGG
This 253-nucleotide ribosomal RNA is filed under the name uncultured bacterium. RNAcentral describes it as "partial 16S ribosomal RNA". It matches the Rfam family "Bacterial small subunit ribosomal RNA", at positions 524 to 776 of the family's 1533-position model. The record is from RNAcentral.